Non-coding RNA from Oncorhynchus mykiss (rainbow trout), 842 nucleotides. NCBI's taxonomy places the organism in Eukaryota, Metazoa, Chordata, Actinopteri, Salmoniformes, Salmonidae. The record is from RefSeq and is a predicted model, not a curated record.
GCCCCCCCUCUCCUUGUUCCCUCCCACUUAGCUCCACCUCUCCCUGUCCCCCCCUUAGCUCCACCUCUCCCUGUCCCCCCCUUAGCCCCCCCUCUCCCUGUCCCCCCCUUAGCCCCACCUCUCCUUGUCUUACUUCCCAAUCAAUCCUUUCCAGAACAGGUCCGUACAACAGCGGGACUGCUAGCUGUGUGUGUGUGUGUGGAUCUCAAGGGGGAGUUUUACACAGGUGUGUGAGACACUCCUGCGUCUUCGUCUAGCGAGGCCGUCCUUCCAAACGUCACGGAAACCUGGGCUUCUGAGGCCGUCUGGAUCUCAAUGUUGCUACAUGUCUGUCGGUAGUGACUGUCUGAACCAGUAGGGGACUUUAACAGGGCUCGUACUCACAAAGCCUCUGAGUGGUCGUGCUGAUCUAGGAUCAGGUCCCCUCUUAUUCAUUAUGAUCUAGGAUCAGGUCCCCUCUUAUUCAUUAUGAUCUAGGAUCAGGUCCCCUCUUAUUCAUUAUGAUCUAGGAUCAGGUCCCCUCUUAUUCAUUAUGAUCUAAGAUCAGGUCCCCUCUUAGUCAUUAUGACCAGUAGUAGUGCUGAUCUAGGAUCAGGUCCCUCUUAUCCAUUAUAACCUACAGCCAAAACUGAUGCUAGAUCAGCACUCCUGUUCUGAGACGCUUUGUGAACACGGCCCUGAUAUGUUAGAGCUGUGAUGUGGUGGCCAACUCUUGUCCUGGGGAGCUACGCUCCUGCAGGGAUUUGUUCCGGCCCAACAGUCAUAGACUUUAUCUUUGUUUUUCUGCUAUCCUCUCGUUUUGAGAAAGUGUAAAUAAAUAAAAAUACCUUUAUUUCAUCAGA